Carya illinoinensis is the source of this 883-nucleotide long non-coding RNA. RefSeq lists it as uncharacterized. The transcript is spliced from 2 exons. Lineage: Eukaryota; Viridiplantae; Streptophyta; Magnoliopsida; Fagales; Juglandaceae. The record is from RefSeq and is a predicted model, not a curated record.
AACGAAGAUUCCCAAAUUCCGGUAAUUGGGUAAUGAUACCCUUACCAUUAAAAGAUAUCCUUGUAAUGAUAUCCUUACCAUUACAUUACUACUGAUUUACUACGCGUCCGACGUGGUUUUAUUUAUUUAUUAUUUUUCGUUUGUUCUCUACUGCUGGAUGCCUCUGCUGGAUUGUGAUGUGAUUUGCUCCCUGCAAUGUCGGAAAGAUGUAACUCUACCCAGUACACAAUUUCACUUUCAAAUUCAAAUCUUUCAAAUUCAGAAAGAUGUAACUCUACACGGAAUGAUUUGCUUUCAUUUUCGCUGGGCUCUUCUCUCCUCUCAAUCUCAGGCCGAAUGAACCUCUCAUUGUCGCAGGCCGAGAUCAAACCUCCUGGCGUCGUCGAAGGGCGAACGAACCUCUCUAUCUGUCUCAGGUAUGGGCGAUUUGGACGAAAUCAUACCAGGGUUUGACGCUGCCGCCGCCGUCGUGCACAGCCGACCCUCCUGAGCUGCCAGGUUGUAGUUGUUUCUACUUCAAAGACAGGCAAGCAUGGACAUGCAAACUACCACUUUGUAUCAAUCGACAUAUUUAAUGGGAAGAAGCUUGAGGAUAUUGUUCCAGCGGCUAUGGCUGAUGGCAAACGAAUAUGUUUGCUUUUAUGUUUGACAGGGAUGAUAUCUUCUGGGUAUACAAUAAGUUUUCCGUAAGAUGGCCAUUUGACGUUGUAUAAAUUAGCAUUUAGAUGUGCUUAAAAUCUUGUCUUGUAAGGCUUGUGAAUGGGGAAAGAGAAAGGGAUCAGCUAAAGAAAAAGUUAGGGCUGCCGAUCCCUCAGACGAAAGGAACUCAAGUGUAAAUCAGGUUACACUUUAUAUAAAUAUAACUACUGUCAUGUUCUUGUUA